This 301-nucleotide ribosomal RNA is filed under the name uncultured bacterium. RNAcentral's name for it is "partial 16S ribosomal RNA". It matches the Rfam family "Bacterial small subunit ribosomal RNA", at positions 509 to 807 of the family's 1533-position model. The record is from RNAcentral.
CAGUCGCCACGGGAACACGUAGGGCGCAAGCGUUGUCCGGAAUUAUUGGGCGUAAAGAGCUCGUAGGCGGUCUGUCGCGUCUGGUGUGAAAUCCCGAGGCUCAACCUCGGGCUUGCAUCGGGUACGGGCAGACUAGAGUGCGGUAGGGGAGACUGGAAUUCCUGGUGUAGCGGUGGAAUGCGCAGAUAUCAGGAGGAACACCGAUGGCGAAGGCAGGUCUCUGGGCCGCAACUGACGCUGAGGAGCGAAAGCAUGGGGAGCGAACAGGAUUAGAUACCCGCGUAGUCCCUGUCUCUUAUAC